CUACAUGAUGAUUUUAUACACACUUUUCUGUUCCCGCGAACCCUGAGCGCAGAACUAACAUGCAUCACCAUCUGACC
This 77-nucleotide small nucleolar RNA is filed under the name Trichoderma virens Gv29-8. The record is from RNAcentral. Lineage: Eukaryota; Fungi; Ascomycota; Sordariomycetes; Hypocreales; Hypocreaceae.